GGGAUAACCUUGCGAAAGUAAGACUAAUACCCAAUGAUAUCUCUAGAAGACAUCUGAAAGAGAUUAAAGAUUUAUCGGUGAUGGAUGGGGAUGCGUCUGAUUAGCUUGUUGGCGGGGUAACGGCCCACCAAGGCGACGAUCAGUAGGGGUUCUGAGAGGAAGGUCCCCCACAUUGGAACUGAGACACGGUCCAAACUCCUACGGGAGGCAGCAGUGAGGAAUAUUGGUCAAUGGGCGAGAGCCUGAACCAGCCAAGUAGCGUGCAGGAUGACGGCCCUAUGGGUUGUAAACUGCUUUUAUAAGGGAAUAAAGUGAGUCUCGUGAGACUUUUUGCAUGUACCUUAUGAAUAAGGACCGGCUAAUUCCGUGCCAGCAGCCGCGGUAAUACGGAAGGUCCGGGCGUUAUCCGGAUUUAUUGGGUUUAAAGGGAGCGUAGGCCGGAGAUUAAGCGUGUUGUGAAAUGUAGACGCUCAACGUCUGCACUGCAGCGCGAACUGGUUUCCUUGAGUACGCACAAAGUGGGCGGAAUUCGUGGUGUAGCGGUGAAAUGCUUAGAUAUCACGAAGAACUCCGAUUGCGAAGGCAGCUCACUGGAGCGCAACUGACGCUGAAGCUCGAAAGUGCGGGUGUCGAACAGGAUUAGAUACCCUGGUAGUCCGCACGGUAA
This 667-nucleotide ribosomal RNA is filed under the name uncultured bacterium. Its description in RNAcentral is "bacterial SSU rRNA". It matches the Rfam family "Bacterial small subunit ribosomal RNA", at positions 140 to 805 of the family's 1533-position model. The record is from RNAcentral.